AGGAAUAUUGGUCAAUGGGCGCGAGCCUGAACCAGCCAAGUAGCGUGAAGGAUGAAGGUCCUAUGGAUUGUAAACUUCUUUUAUACGGGAAUAAAGUGGUCCACGUGUGGGCUUUUGCAUGUACCGUAUGAAUAAGCAUCGGCUAACUCCGUGCCAGCAGCCGCGGUAAUACGGAGGAUGCGAGCGUUAUCCGGAUUUAUUGGGUUUAAAGGGAGCGCAGACGGGGGAUUAAGUCAGUUGUGAAAGUUUGCGGCUCAACCGUAAAAUUGCAGUUGAUACUGGUUCCCUUGAGUGCAGUUGAGGCAGGCGGAAUUCGUGGUGUAGCGGUGAAAUGCAUAGAUAUCACGAAGAACCCCGAUUGCGAAGGCAGCCUGCUAAGCUGUAACUGACGUUGAGGCUCGAAAGUGUGGGUAUCAAACAGGAUUAGAUACCCUGGUAGUCCACACGGUAAACGAUGGAUACUCGCUGUUGGCGAUAUACUGUCAGCGGCCAAGCGAAAGCAUUAAGUAUCCCACCUGGGGAGUACGCCGGCAACGGUGAAACUCAAAGGAAUUGACGGGGGCCCGCACAAGCGGAGGAACAUGUGGUUUAAUUCGAUGAUACGCGAGGAACCUUACCCGGGCUUAAAUUGCAGACGAAUUACCUGGAAACAGGUAAGCCGCAAGGCGUCUGUGAAGGUGCUGCAUGGUUGUCGUCAGCUCGUGCCGUGAGGUGUCGGCUUAAGUGCCAUAACGAGCGCAACCCUCGUGGCCAGUUACUAGCAGGUAAUGCUGAGGACUCUGGCCAGACUGCCAUCGUAAGAUGCGAGGAAGGUGGGGAUGACGUCAAAUCAGCACGGCCCUUACGUCCGGGGCUACACACGUGUUACAAUGGGAGGUACAGAAGGCAGCUACCCGGCGACGGGAUGCCAAUCUCCAAAGCCUCUCUCAGUUCGGACUGGAGUCUGCAACCCGACUCCACGAAGCUGGAUUCGCUAGUAAUCGCGCAUCAGCCACGGCGCGGUGAAUACGUUCCCG
Molecule: ribosomal RNA, 1016 nt
Filed under: uncultured bacterium
Lineage: Bacteria
Description: bacterial SSU rRNA
Rfam family: Bacterial small subunit ribosomal RNA
Source: RNAcentral